This is a long non-coding RNA of Syngnathoides biaculeatus (alligator pipefish), 1842 nucleotides long. RefSeq lists it as uncharacterized. The transcript has 3 exons. The record is from RefSeq and is a predicted model, not a curated record. NCBI's taxonomy places the organism in Eukaryota, Metazoa, Chordata, Actinopteri, Syngnathiformes, Syngnathidae.
UUACAUUGGGUGCCGUGGAAACACCAGACAGUCAUGCAGAUGAGAACAAAGACUGACGAUAUCCAUAGGAUGGUGAAGACAUCGCAAAGACUCACUUGAACUAUUUUGUCACGGUUCCUUUGUUUGUCACAAUUUUCUUUAUGUGAUGCAGACCACGCUAAGGAAUAAAAAAGUGGAGACGUGGAUAUGUGAUUAGAAUGGGUUGGAGAUUGUGAAAGAGACACAUCCCACGUUCUCGCGAGCCAGAAGUUCCUCUUGUCUUCCUUCCUUGAUAAUUUUACUUUAAAUGUCCUAGGCUGUUUAAACCUGACAUUAAAUUGGUCCUUCAAGCCGGAUCCCAAGAUGCUUGAGGAUUCCAGCGGGUGUGUUGAAUACCAGAAAGACUGUGGCCACGGCAGACUCUUUCUCAGUCUAAAGACCCUUUACAGGACUGGUGUGCAGCCCGCCGGCUGGUAUCCGACGGUUGACGGGAUCCAGAGAUGGAGGGAAGACAAGAGGGUUACAAGGGGCCCGGUUGAUUUAUUUUCCAAAGCCUAAAACACAGUUGACGAAGUGUCUACGAUGGAUUAAGGCUUGCGGAAGACUGCACGUACAACUAAAUGUGAACAAUAUCAACAAACACAAGGCUGUAUGUUGGAAGAGUCGUAGCUGGAAGCACUGGUCCAGUUUAAGCUUCCGGACAUGCCACAUCUGGUGGAGAUGUUGCCUGGUGGAGUGGAGCUUGUCUAGCAGACUGGCCACCUGAAACACAGACAAACAGAGGACAAUUUCUUUCAUUAGUCCCUUUUCACUGUCAGUAAAAGGCAGAAUUUGCCCAACUUUUUUGUGUAUUGCCAUUUAGAAGAAAGAAAUCAUUGUGCAUAUGAAAUUUAUAGCUAUGUCAGAGGCAGGAUGGCAGUCGUCUGUCUUUGAAUUGCAUCAUGUGGAGACAAUUUGUUCUUGUUGUGUCUUUCCCGGUUCUCUAUUCCCAUAUGGGAUGGCAACUCCACAUAAGGGAAUUUCAUGACAGGAAAUUUAACUCCUGACAUUUUUUUGUCUCUCCCAUGACUGUCACACAUGAUGGUAGCAUUGGCAUCCUCUAAGAUCUCUUUGUGGUAUGCCAAGUUGCUGUGUGAAAGUGCUCACAGUUCCUGAAAAAUCCAAUUUUUUUUCUGCCUUUUCUCAGACCUGGGGCAUUUCAAUAGAAUCUUAAAGCCCCACAAGGAACUUUUGCAUUGAGUUGAAGAUCUACUGAUUAUUAUAAAUCAGGCUACGAGGGGAAAAUAGUGUAAUACCCUACAUAUUUUACUUUGUUUAUAGCUACAGUAGUUUUGAGAAGAAUAGCGAUGGAGUGUUAACUGACUGCGUUGAUAUUUGGCAUUUUGGCACACAUCAGCAUCAGCAAUUAAUUAAUCUGACAGCCAAUAAUUUUAAACUGGAAUAUUUUGGCUUUGAUGCAGCUGCAGCGAGCAUCUCUUUUAGUGACUUCUGUCUCCAGCAUUGUCCCACCCACAGCACCACCAGAUUAGUUAUCUGUGCACAACGACUGCACCGGUAACUACCAAUCAGCACGCAGUAAAAGCCGUGCAAUGUGUUUUGGAUAUUAAUAAGUAUUUGUAAGAUAUUAGUACCCCUUGGAUCAUUAUAAAUAGUCUGUUUUUCUCUAAUCAUGGAUUGUUGUUUUUUUCCGGGGGCAAAUACAAAUUAUUAGUAGACAAGGAACCCAAUAACUGAUAAUUAGAGCUGAUAUUCAUUUUGCCAUAUAAAGGAAAAUAAAAGAAAAAUUUGACAUGAAAUGAAAAAUGAAAAAAACACUUUAUUUACAUGUCUUUAAGCACAUUUAUUAAACAGCUUUCAACUUUU